AGAGUUUGAUCCUGGCUCAGAUUGAACGCUGGCGGCAUGCCUUACACAUGCAAGUCGAACGGCAGCACGGGAGCAAUCCUGGUGGCGAGUGGCGAACGGGUGAGUAAUACAUCGGAACGUGUCCUGUAGUGGGGGAUAGCCCGGCGAAAGCCGGAUUAAUACCGCAUACGCUCUACGGAGGAAAGGGGGGGAUCUUAGGACCUCUCGCUACAGGGGCGGCCGAUGGCAGAUUAGCUAGUUGGUGGGGUAAAGGCCUACCAAGGCGACGAUCUGUAGCUGGUCUGAGAGGACGACCAGCCACACUGGGACUGAGACACGGCCCAGACUCCUACGGGAGGCAGCAGUGGGGAAUUUUGGACAAUGGGCGCAAGCCUGAUCCAGCAAUGCCGCGUGUGUGAAGAAGGCCUUCGGGUUGUAAAGCACUUUUGUCCGGAAAGAAAUCCUUUGGGCUAAUACCCUGAGGGGAUGACGGUACCGGAAGAAUAAGCACCGGCUAACUACGUGCCAGCAGCCGCGGUAAUACGUAGGGUGCAAGCGUUAAUCGGAAUUACUGGGCGUAAAGCGUGCGCAGGCGGUCCGCUAAGACAGAUGUGAAAUCCCCGGGCUUAACCUGGGAACUGCAUUUGUGACUGGCGGGCUAGAGUAUGGCAGAGGGGGGUAGAAUUCCACGUAGCAGUGAAAUGCGUAGAGAUGUGGAGGAAUACCGAUGGCGAAGGCAGCCCCCUGGGCCAAUACUGACGCUCAUGCACGAAAGCGUGGGGAGCAAACAGGAUUAGAUACCCCCGUAGUCC
RNAcentral lists this ribosomal RNA (791 nucleotides) under uncultured bacterium. RNAcentral's name for it is "bacterial SSU rRNA". It matches the Rfam family "Bacterial small subunit ribosomal RNA", at positions 8 to 796 of the family's 1533-position model. The record is from RNAcentral.